RNAcentral lists this ribosomal RNA (253 nucleotides) under uncultured bacterium. RNAcentral's name for it is "partial 16S ribosomal RNA". It matches the Rfam family "Bacterial small subunit ribosomal RNA", at positions 524 to 776 of the family's 1533-position model. The record is from RNAcentral.
UACGUAGGGAGCAAGCGUUGUCCGGAAUCAUUGGGCGUAAAGCGCGCGUAGGUGGCCCUGUAAGUCCGUUGUGAAAGUCAAAGGCUCAACCUUUGAAAGCCGAUGGAUACUGCAGGGCUAGAGUACGGAAGAGGCGAGUGGAAUUCCUGGUGUAGCGGUGGAAUGCGCAGAUAUCAGGAGGAACACCGGUGGCGAAGGCGGGUCUCUGGGCAGUAACUGACGCUGAGGAGCGAAAGCGUGGGGAGCGAACAGG